GACGAACGCUGGCGGCGUGCUUAACACAUGCAAGUCGAACGGAAAGGCCCUGCUUUUGUGGGGUGCUCGAGUGGCGAACGGGUGAGUAACACGUGAGUAACCUGCCCUUGACUUUGGGAUAACUUCAGGAAACUGGGGCUAAUACCGGAUAGGAGCUCCUGCUGCAUGGUGGGGGUUGGAAAGUUUCGGCGGUUGGGGAUGGACUGGCGGCUUAUCAGCUUGUUGGUGGGGUAGUGGCUUACCAAGGCUUUGGCGGGUAGCCGGCCUGCGAGGGUGACCAGCCACAUUGGGACUGAGGUACGGCCCAGUCUGCUACGUGAGACAGAGGUGGCGAAUAUUGCACAAUGGGAGGGAGCCUGAUGCAGAAACGCCGCGGGUGUGAUGACGGCUUUCGGGGUGUAAAACGCUUUCGCCUAAGACGAAGCGUGAGUGACGGUAAUGGGUAAAGAAGCACCGGCUAACUACGUG
Molecule: ribosomal RNA, 468 nt
Filed under: uncultured bacterium
Lineage: Bacteria
Description: partial 16S ribosomal RNA
Rfam family: Bacterial small subunit ribosomal RNA
Source: RNAcentral